Capsicum annuum is the source of this 1800-nucleotide RNA transcript. It is a transcript of the gene named 3-hydroxyisobutyryl-CoA hydrolase-like protein 1, mitochondrial, with no coding region annotated. The transcript has 15 exons. Lineage: Eukaryota; Viridiplantae; Streptophyta; Magnoliopsida; Solanales; Solanaceae. The record is from RefSeq and is a predicted model, not a curated record.
UUGUCGAAUGUCAAAAAGAAGAAAUAUGUGAUUUUCAGCUCUUGUCUAUUUUGCUGUUUAUGAAGAUAGUAGUAAUAAAGAUUACAACUUUACCUAUAUAUAAAUCUUGAAAAUACUACUCUCUCCUACUAUUCAUUUUCGAUACAAACAAGAUAUGCACAACUUCAAAUCAACACCAUCUAAUUUGAGGCGUUUUCUGCAUAAUUCCCCAUUGGUUUCUCGUUGCAGAAGCUUUUGUGGUGUCUCUACCAAUGCCCUUGUUGAUGAACCCGAAAGCACUGUUCUAGUGGAGGGGAAUGCUUCAUCAAGAACAGCGAUUCUUAAUAGACCCCAUGUAUUAAAUGCCAUCAAUUGUUCAACCGCGGCAAGGAUGAUGAAGCUGUACAAAAAUUGGGAGGAUGAUCCUGAUAUUGGUUUUGUGGUAUUGAAGGGAAGUGGCAAGGCAUUCUCUGCUGGUGGUGACGUUGUCGCUCUUUAUAAUUUGCUAAAGCAAGGGAAUUUUCAAGGCUGUAAAGAAACCUUUUGGACAGCAUAUAACUUUGUAUAUGUAGUUGGCACAUACUUGAAGCCACAAGUUGCUCUUUUGAAUGGAGUUACCAUGGGUGGUGGGGCUGGCAUCUCAAUUCCUGGAACUUUCCGUGUUGCAACUGAGAAAACUGUCUUUGCCACACCAGAAACAUUGAUUGGAUACCAUCCUGAUGCUGGGGCGUCAUUUUACCUUUCCCGCCUCCCUGGUUAUUUGGGAGAGUACCUGGCCCUAACUGGAGAUAAGAUGAGUGGAGCUGAAAUGAUUUCCUGUGGGCUUGCUACACACUACUCACACAGUGCAAAACUUCCCUUAAUUGAGGAACAACUUGGAACGCUGAUUACUGAUGAUCCCUCAGUGAUUGAAAGAUCUCUUGAAAAUUAUGGAGAGAUUGUCCAUCCAGAUCCGGCGAGUGUACUUUACAGAUUUGAAGCACCUUUUCUAGCUAAUCAAGCAUGCACCAGUCAGUUGACCAACCUAGAUCUUCAGGGAAUCCCUCAAUAUUUCCUAUCUGACAUAGAAACAAUCCUUUGGCUUAUUGAAAUCAGACGUAGACGUUCUGCUGCCUGGCUUCAUCUUUUACUUGCUGCAGGAAAGCAAGUCAUAGGAUUGAAACUCUUGAUAAAUGUUUCAGCCAUGACACAGUCGAAGAAAUUGUUGAUGCUUUGGAGACCGAGGCAGCCAAGAAACAAGAUGCAUGGUGUGUUGCAACAUCGAGAAAAUUACAACAAACAUCCUCACUGAGUCUGAAGGUUUCACUGAGAUCUAUACGCGAAGGUAGACAUCAGACUCUGGAUCAGUGCCUUAGGCGUGAGUAUCGGAUGUCACUACAAGCUUUAUAUGGACAAAUAUCUAGUGACUUCUGUGAGGGGGUUCGCUCGCGGCUUGUGGAUAGAGAUCUUGCACCUAAGUGGGAUCCUCCAAGCUUGGAGAAAGUAACUGAUGACAUGGUCGAUCAGUACUUUUCUCGUCUAACAGCAUCCGAGCCUGAACUGGAGCUACCUACACAACAGCGAGAAGCAUUUACAUAAUUUUUGGGUUGGGAAACUUCUCAACUUUGAAGCUAACAGAAGAAAAUAGGAAAAGGGGAAACAAAAUAUGUGAAUGUCAUUUAUCUUUAUUUACAGAAGAAAACAUUCAGCAUUUCAUUCUUGAUUUAGUUGCAUUUGCAAAUAUGCUUUUUCCUAUACUGAAAAUAACCAAGGAUAUGCCUUGCCAAUAUGAUUCACAAAAUUGACAGUUUGGGAAGUCAAAUAGAUUGACAUUUCAUUUCA